UUGGAGAAUUUCCAAUUUGAUAGCACUUUCACCAGAAAGGGUUUUAUCCAGUGGUCUAAAAAUGUAUGUGGUGGAGAGCAAAGGAGGGGCUAUUGUUUGCAUGUUAUUGUCUUUGUUCUUCUUAGGGACAUGGCCAGCUUUACUAACUUUACUUGAAAGAAGAGGGAGAUUUCCUCAACACACUUACCUUGAUUAUACUUUCACCAAUCUGUUGGCUGCUGUUAUAAUCGCUUUUACCAUUGGUGAGAUUGGGACAGGCACAUUGGAAAAGCCGAAUUUCCUUCCACAACUCUCCCAGGUUGGUGCCUUUCACAGUCAAGAACAUUGUAUGUGUAUGAGCGUAGGUAAAUCCAGAAUUCAGAUUUGAAAGGAUUAGUAGUAUACACAAUAAAUAAACCACCAAAUCAUGAACUUUUUUAUAUUAUCACUUGACAAAACUUUGGAGUUUGAACUGAUUAUAGUUUAUAAUAUAACUAAAAAUUACUUUAGUAUAGACCUUUUGGAACCAAUUAUAGCUCGUUUAGCCAUGCUGCAAAAAUUAGAAGUGCUUUUCUCAAAAGUGCUUCUAAGUGUAUUUUUCUCAAAAGUGCUUCUCAAACAAGUAUUUUUGGAGAGAAGUUACCUUUUUGUGCUUCUCCAAAAUUGCUUCUGCUUCUACUCAAAAACAACUUUUUUUCCUUCCAUCAGCUUAGCCAACCUACUCAAUUUUUGGCCAAAAGUUCUUUUGGCCAAAAAGCUAUUAGUCUUGUCAGGCCAGUGUUUAGUGUCACAUUAAAGGUGGUGGUGUAAAUUAGUUUCUGGUUUCGUUUGGUUUUCUGAAUACUAUGUGCUCUAUUUGAGUAAAAGUGAUUUUAAUAUGUGACACUUUUGCUGGAAGUCUUGGAUUGGAAAAUUAACACUCUAGUUUUGGCAUUUGGGACUUAAUACUUUGGAAGUUAUUAUUCAACACUUAAAUUUCUGAGUUCUUAUGUCUUGGUUUAAUAAACCAAAUUUUAUUAAAAAUAUGAUUAAAGAACAAGUUGAUUUCCCUGUUCAACA
This 1038-nucleotide long non-coding RNA is filed under the name Nicotiana benthamiana. Its description in RNAcentral is "long non-coding RNA (NBEN_LNC013624)". The record is from RNAcentral. Lineage: Eukaryota; Viridiplantae; Streptophyta; Magnoliopsida; Solanales; Solanaceae.